AGAGUUUGAUCCUGGCUCAGAACGAACGCUGGCGGCGUGCUUAACACAUGCAAGUCGAGUGCGCGUGCCGUAGCAAUACGGUAUGGCGCACGGCGCACGGGUGCGUAACACGUGGGCAAUCUGCCCUCCGGUGGGGAAUAACCCCGCGAAAGCGGGGCUAAUUCCGCAUAACAUUCCCUGGGCUUCGGUUCGGGGAUUCAAAGCAGCAAUGCGCCGGAGGAGGAGCCCGCGCCCGAUUAGCUAGUUGGUGAGGUAAUGGCUCACCAAGGCAAUGAUCGGUAGCUGGUCUGAGAGGAUGGCCAGCCACACUGGAACUGAGACACGGUCCAGACUCCUACGGGAGGCAGCAGUGGGGAAUCUUGCGCAAUGGGCGAAAGCCUGACGCAGCGACGCCGCGUGGGGGAUGAAGCUUUUCGGAGUGUAAACCCCUUUCGACCGGGACGAAUGCCCGCAAGGGAGUGACGGUACCGGUAGAAGAAGCCCCGGCUAACUACGUGCCAGCAGCCGCGGUAAGACGUAGGGGGCCAGCGUUGUUCGGAAUUACUGGGUGUAAAGGGUUCGUA
RNAcentral lists this ribosomal RNA (563 nucleotides) under uncultured bacterium. Its description in RNAcentral is "bacterial SSU rRNA". It matches the Rfam family "Bacterial small subunit ribosomal RNA", at positions 8 to 573 of the family's 1533-position model. The record is from RNAcentral.